UCUCCGUUGGUGAACCAGCGGAGGGAUCAUUACCGAGUUUACAACUCCCAAACCCCUGUGAACAUACCUAUCGUUGCCUCGGCGGUGCCCGCUCCGGCGGCCCGCCAGAGGACCCCCAAACUCUUGUUUUAUACAGUAUCUUCUGAGUAACACGAUUAAAUAAAUCAAAACUUUCAACAACGGACCUCUUGGUUCUG
Molecule: unclassified non-coding RNA, 197 nt
Filed under: plant metagenome
Description: partial contains small subunit ribosomal RNA, internal transcribed spacer 1, and 5.8S ribosomal RNA
Source: RNAcentral